RNAcentral lists this ribosomal RNA (465 nucleotides) under uncultured bacterium. Its description in RNAcentral is "partial 16S ribosomal RNA". It matches the Rfam family "Bacterial small subunit ribosomal RNA", at positions 28 to 507 of the family's 1533-position model. The record is from RNAcentral.
GACGAACGCUGGCGGCGUGCUUAACACAUGCAAGUCGAACGGAAAGGCCCCUUUGGGGGUACUCGAGUGGCGCACGGGUGAGUAACACGGGAGUAACCUGCCCUUGACUUCGGGUUAACUUCAGGAAACUGGGGCUAAUACCGGAUAGGAAUCCUUGCUGCAUGGUGGGGGUUGGAAAGUUUCGGCGGUUUUUAGUGGAUUCGCGGCUUAUCAGCUUGUUGGUGGGGUAGUGGCUUACCAAGGCUUUGACGGGUAGCCGGCCUGAGAGGGGGACCGGCCACAAUGGGACUGAGAUACGGACCAGACUGCGACGGGUGGCAGAGGUGGGGAGUAUUGCACAAUGGGCGGAAGCCUGAUACAGAAGCGCCCCGUGCGGGAUGACGCCCUUCGGGUUGUAAACCGCUUUCAGCAGGGGCGGAGCUUGUGGUGACGGUACCUGCAGAAGAAGCACCGGCUAACUACGUG